RNAcentral lists this ribosomal RNA (759 nucleotides) under Neisseria subflava. RNAcentral's name for it is "bacterial SSU rRNA". It matches the Rfam family "Bacterial small subunit ribosomal RNA", at positions 28 to 776 of the family's 1533-position model. Lineage: Bacteria; Pseudomonadati; Pseudomonadota; Betaproteobacteria; Neisseriales; Neisseriaceae. The record is from RNAcentral.
AUUGAACGCUGGCGGCAUGCUUUACACAUGCAAGUCGGACGGCAGCACAGAGAAGCUUGCUUCUUGGGUGGCGAGUGGCGAACGGGUGAGUAAUAUAUCGGAACGUACCGAGUAAUGGGGGAUAACUAAUCGAAAGAUUAGCUAAUACCGCAUAUUCUCUGAGGAGGAAAGCAGGGGACCUUCGGGCCUUGCGUUAUUCGAGCGGCCGAUAUCUGAUUAGCUAGUUGGUGGGGUAAAGGCCUACCAAGGCGACGAUCAGUAGCGGGUCUGAGAGGAUGAUCCGCCACACUGGGACUGAGACACGGCCCAGACUCCUACGGGAGGCAGCAGUGGGGAAUUUUGGACAAUGGGCGCAAGCCUGAUCCAGCCAUGCCGCGUGUCUGAAGAAGGCCUUCGGGUUGUAAAGGACUUUUGUCAGGGAAGAAAAGGCUGUUGCUAAUAUCGACAGCUGAUGACGGUACCUGAAGAAUAAGCACCGGCUAACUACGUGCCAGCAGCCGCGGUAAUACGUAGGGUGCGAGCGUUAAUCGGAAUUACUGGGCGUAAAGCGAGCGCAGACGGUUACUUAAGCAGGAUGUGAAAUCCCCGGGCUUAACCUGGGAACUGCGUUCUGAACUGGGUGACUAGAGUGUGUCAGAGGGAGGUAGAAUUCCACGUGUAGCAGUGAAAUGCGUAGAGAUGUGGAGGAAUACCGAUGGCGAAGGCAGCCUCCUGGGAUAACACUGACGUUCAUGCUCGAAAGCGUGGGUAGCAAACAGG